Armigeres subalbatus is the source of this 488-nucleotide long non-coding RNA. RefSeq lists it as uncharacterized. Lineage: Eukaryota; Metazoa; Arthropoda; Insecta; Diptera; Culicidae. The record is from RefSeq and is a predicted model, not a curated record. The transcript is spliced from 4 exons.
CGAAUACCAGUUGGAGAAGACACAGUCCGUGUAAGCGAUCAAUUAUCCGCGGAGAAAAGGACAUCCGGGGCCACCUAGUCACUCAGUUCAUAACCAGUGUCGGUGCCUCAGUGGUUGGUUGGUAAAGGUUUCACACUAAAUUGAGCCGGAAGAUGUGCCCGUUAAAGAUCCGGAGAGUAUAGGCGGUUCUAACGGUGGACACCAUCCCGAACUCGUUGAAAUUUUACGUCAAUAGCCACGGAAUAACUGAUACACACCCAGUCCUCACGGGAGAGGAUUAAAAGACGAUUUUCUAUAUGAUUAAAAAUUUCGUCGUUAUUCAGCCGGGUGUGGAGGAUCCUUCCUGAUGGUCAUCAAGAUACAGUCCUGGAUCAUAAUCCGAAGCAGAUACCUUAUCGGGGAGCGGCGUUUUUCGAUAGCCAAGAUAAGUUGGUUGGUGACUAGUGCUGACAACGUUUUAUUUCAACUACAUGAUGGGUGUAGCGGCG